CUUUAUAAGACUCACUUUUCCAGGAGUCUUUUGUCACCUUAAUGGUGGCUUUGCUUCUGAUCCAUCCCCUACCAGGUGGCUGCUCACUGAGUCAAACAUUUUAUGAGCACCUGCAGUGUCGCAAGGAGCUGUGCUGGGCCCUAGGAGUGCAAAGAUGGUAAAGCCCGAAGCAAAGAACUGCCUUAGGAGUGAUGCCAGGUGUGCAGGGCCAUUGAGCUCUGCUUAUUCCCAGCCCUUCUGCAGCCCUCUGAGUCCUGAGAACCAGCUGGUUCCGCAAAGGAAGCCUUUGGAUUGUUAGAAGCUGAAGAAGCAACAUCAGCGGCCCCCACUUCUGGGGCGGGGGCUCCUGGAUCACCAAGCAACAGCGCUUUCUGGAACUGUUGGCAGUCGUGGGCCCCACCCUUCUGCAUGAUUUCUCCACUGUGGCUUCUAUUCCCACGGCUCUGCAAAAAGUGCUCCCUCCACGAUAGCCGGUAAUCUCCACAGCGUCCACCCCGCGGAGUAUUUCUGGGUCCUUGUCUUCCUGGAAUGUUCCUUGGAGGACCAUCUGAGAAUCAUUCUAUUGCACAUGAAAGAAAAACCCACUCAAAUUGUGGCAGACAAAACUAUUGCACAGUGCCUCCCAGUGAUGCUGGCCCGUCGGGUGCUGCCAGGCCCCCAGCGUCUCCCCGCACACGUCCAGGUCUGCCUUUCCACAGAAAGUUGGGAAAUAGAAAUUCUGACUUUUUCAGCUGCAUUACAAAGCAUAAACAUGAAGGUAUGAGGACAACCUUCGCAGAGUGCCAGGGUGGCUUGUGCUUACAGCC
Bos taurus (domestic cattle) is the source of this 806-nucleotide long non-coding RNA. The record is from Ensembl. NCBI's taxonomy places the organism in Eukaryota, Metazoa, Chordata, Mammalia, Artiodactyla, Bovidae.